Molecule: non-coding RNA, 87 nt
Filed under: Serratia nematodiphila
Lineage: Bacteria; Pseudomonadati; Pseudomonadota; Gammaproteobacteria; Enterobacterales; Yersiniaceae
Source: RNAcentral
AAUUAUGGUGGGGCGUGCAGGGGAGCCGAAAGGCUCGCCGGAGUCAUGAGUGACCGGUACGCCAACCCUGUACGUCUCACCACCAGU